GAUGAAGAACGUAGCGAAAUGCGAUAAGUAAUGCGAAUUGCAGAAUUCGGUGAGUCAUCGAAUCUUUGAACGCACAUUGCGCCCUGUGGUAUUCCGCAGGGCAUGCCUGUUCGAGCGUCAUUUCAACCCUCAAGCCUCGCUUGGUGUUGGGCCCUGCCCGCCGCGGCCGGCCCUAAAGAUAGUGGCGGCGCCGCCUGGCCCUCAGCGUAGUACAGCUCUCGCUCCAGGGUCCGGCGGUAGCCUGCCAGAACCCCCCAACUCUGUGGUUGACCUCGGAUCAGGUAGGGAUACCCGCUGAACUUAAGCAUAUCAAUAAGCGGAGGA
This 324-nucleotide unclassified non-coding RNA is filed under the name soil metagenome. RNAcentral's name for it is "partial contains 5.8S ribosomal RNA, internal transcribed spacer 2, and large subunit ribosomal RNA". The stretch from base 1 to 120 matches the Rfam family "5.8S ribosomal RNA", at positions 35 to 154 of the family's 154-position model. The record is from RNAcentral.